Molecule: transfer RNA, 73 nt
Filed under: Anguilla anguilla (European eel)
Lineage: Eukaryota; Metazoa; Chordata; Actinopteri; Anguilliformes; Anguillidae
Description: tRNA-OTHER
Source: RNAcentral
GGCACGGUGGUACAGUGGGUAGCACUGUCGCCUCACAGCAAGAUGGUCAUGGGUACGAAUCCGGCCUGGGCCU